Molecule: unclassified non-coding RNA, 124 nt
Filed under: uncultured fungus
Lineage: Eukaryota; Fungi
Description: sequence contains ITS1
Source: RNAcentral
GAGAGUUUUAGAACUCCCAACCAUUGUGAACGAACCGCUGUGCCCAGGCCUAGGUACCUCCCUAAGCCGGCGGCAUGCAAACUCUUGCUUCAGUGGAUAUCUGAGUAACUUGUACAAUAAGUCA